GUAAUGGUUUUAAGCUGAAAAAGGGUAGGUUCAGGUUGAAUAUUGGUAAGGAUUCCUUUGCAAGUUGGACAGGGUUUGGAGCAGCCUGCUCUAGUGGAAGAUGUCCCAGAUAGGGACAGGGGGUGGAACGAGUUUCAAGGUCCCUUCCAACCCAAGUAAUUCUGUGAUUCUGCGAUUUAACAGCUUGAAAGUACAAGUCCAUGGUCAUGCACUUCUUUGACUGCCCUGCAGCAGACCCCCUCUUUCAUUUUCUGAAGCACUGCAAAGUCUUGGAGUUACAUGAGCAUUCACAAAAGUUAGACAGAUCCUAGAGCAACCCUCUUGUGUUAUUUUACUACUGAGGAACAUCCUGGACAUCCAUCAGUAUUUGGACCCUUAUGAAUCUACCUUAAAUGAUUUUCAAGAAGAUUUAUACUGCUCAUUUGUAUUUCCAUAUCACUGCUGGAACGAGCUUUCUUUGUGUGGUGCUUGAUCUUCUGGCAUUCCUUAUGGUCCCUGGGAUGAAGAGUUUUGUCCUUCCUCAGGAGGAGUGAGGGUGGGGAAGCCAUGGUGAGUUACUGGGGUCUUUUAACAGCAAAAGUAAUCACAGUGCCCAACUUAAUAAGUGUCCAAAAAUUUCCUUGUAAUUGAGAGACAUCUCAGGUUAAAGCAGCUCAGGUCUUGAGACCCUGAAUUAUGUCUUCUGCAAUGCUGUAAAAUCUUAAUGCAGUCUAAAUAACUUAUUUUGCUGAUUUGACUGACAAUCUCUAGUGCUUUCAUCGAUUAAAUUAUGGAAAUGUAUUGAUUCUUUAAAAGACACCAGUUCAUCAGGUGCCCUGCAGUUUAAAACCUGUGUCCCUUUUUAUUUCCUAUCUCCAAAUACUUAAUGCCUGUGUGUCUCCUGAGUGUUCCAUUUUUCAGUGUUUUAAUGGCACAACUAUUAAAUAAGCUGAAUUUCUACAUCAGAAAAGGACACUUGCAGUGUAUUUCACUCAGACUGACACAGCAGACCCCUUAAAAAAGAUUC
This 1006-nucleotide long non-coding RNA is filed under the name Parus major (Great Tit). RNAcentral describes it as "lncRNA (ENSPMJG00000014247.1)". The record is from RNAcentral. Lineage: Eukaryota; Metazoa; Chordata; Aves; Passeriformes; Paridae.